Long non-coding RNA from Equus quagga, 323 nucleotides. RefSeq lists it as uncharacterized. The record is from RefSeq and is a predicted model, not a curated record. Lineage: Eukaryota; Metazoa; Chordata; Mammalia; Perissodactyla; Equidae. The transcript is spliced from 3 exons.
CUUGGCGCGACCGCUUUUCUUCUUUGUGGGCCGGCGUUUGCGUGUUUUUCUUUUUACACAACCGGGAAUAUCGGAGUAACAUUGUCUUUCUCUGUUUCCCUAGACUUGCCAGAAAAUCUGCAAAGUCGUAUAGCCACAGCACGCGCAAAAGAAGAAAUCUUGAACUGAAGUGAUCGGGGAACCAAGGAUCCUCCUUCCCACGGACCAGGACAGGCCAGAACUUGAAAAUCAGUAAUGGCCUCUUUUAUUAAUGCCUAUAUCAUCAGCAGUAAAUAUUUAUUCAGCAUCUAUUCUGUGUUAGAGAGCAGCAUUCUACACUAAAG